RNAcentral lists this ribosomal RNA (460 nucleotides) under uncultured bacterium. RNAcentral describes it as "partial 16S ribosomal RNA". It matches the Rfam family "Bacterial small subunit ribosomal RNA", at positions 338 to 795 of the family's 1533-position model. The record is from RNAcentral.
CCUACGGGUGGCAGCAGUGAGGAAUAUUGGUCAAUGGGCGCGAGCCUGAACCAGCCAAGUAGCGUGAAGGAUGACUGCCCUACGGGUUGUAAACUUCUUUUAUCAAGGAAUAAAGUGCGGCACGUGCGCCUUUUUGUAUGUACUUUAUGAAUAAGGACCGGCUAACUCCGUGCCAGCAGCCGCGGUAAUCCGGAGGGUCCGAGCGUUAUCCGGAUUUAUUGGGUUUAAAGGGGGCGUAGAUGGGUUGUUAGGUCAGUUGUGAAAGUUGUCGGCUCAACCGUAAAAUUGCAAUUGAUACUGGCAGCCUUGAGUACAGUUGAGGUAGGCGGAAUUCGUGGUGUAGCGGUGAAAUGCUUAGAUAUCACGAAGAACUCCGAUUGCGAAGGCAGCUUACUAAACUGCAACUGACAUUGAUGCACGAAAGUGUGGGUAUCAAACAGGAUUAGAUACCCCUGUAGUC